Molecule: ribosomal RNA, 253 nt
Filed under: uncultured bacterium
Lineage: Bacteria
Description: partial 16S ribosomal RNA
Rfam family: Bacterial small subunit ribosomal RNA
Source: RNAcentral
UACAGAGGGGGCAAGCGUUAUUCGGAAUUAUUGGGCGUAAAGGGCGCGUAGGCGGCAUGGCAAGUGGAAGGUGAAAUCCCUCGGCUUAACCGAGGAACUGCCUGUCAAACUGCAUGGCUUGAGACCGGGAGAGGUGAGUGGAAUUCCCAGUGUAGCGGUGAAAUGCGUAGAUAUUGGGAGGAACACCGAUGGCGAAGGCAGCUCGCUGGGACGGUACUGACGCUGAGGCGCGAAAGCGUGGGGAGCAAACAGG